GUGCAGCAGGCGCGAAUACCUCACACUGUGCGAAGCACGAUGAGGGAAUCCCAAGUGCUUGCACGUAAGUGUAAGCUGUUUCUCUGUCUAAACGCAGAGAGAGUAAGGGCUGGGUAAGACGGGUGCCAGCCGCCGCGGUAAUACCUGCAGCUCAAGUGGUGACCGUUAUUAUUGGGCCUAAAACGUCCGUAGCCGGUUUAAUAAAUGCCUGGGUAAAUUGUGUAGCUUAACUAUACGAAUUCCGGGUAGACUGUUAAACUUGAGACUGGGAGAAGUUAGAGGUACUCCUGGGGUAGAGGUGAAACUCUGUAAUCCUAGGGGGACCACCGAGUGGCGAAGGCGUCUAACUAGAACGGGUCUGACGGUGAGGGACGAAGCCCGUGGGGCGCAAACGGGGAUUAGACUACCCCCGUAGU
RNAcentral lists this ribosomal RNA (416 nucleotides) under uncultured microorganism. Its description in RNAcentral is "bacterial SSU rRNA". It matches the Rfam family "Archaeal small subunit ribosomal RNA", at positions 330 to 745 of the family's 1478-position model. The record is from RNAcentral.